This is a long non-coding RNA of Cryptomeria japonica (Japanese cedar), 1618 nucleotides long. RefSeq lists it as uncharacterized. The transcript is spliced from 3 exons. NCBI's taxonomy places the organism in Eukaryota, Viridiplantae, Streptophyta, Pinopsida, Cupressales, Cupressaceae. The record is from RefSeq and is a predicted model, not a curated record.
ACAAGAGGGCAUGGUAUUGUAUGGAUCGGAAGAUAUGCCCUGAAUAUGCUUUCUGUCACGUCUAUCUAUUAAUAAAUAUUGCUAAGUUGCUAUUUCGUUCGCGACACAACACAUCCAAUUUCAUUUAUUAAAGCAAUUAGUGCGAUGAGCUGGAUUGCCUACCAAGAGAACACUCAUUAAUGUCUGUGGAUGACCUAUUUUCAUUAGGUUUUCAAGCAGCUAGCAAGCAAACACCAGAACUGUGAAGGGGAUUUCUGUUUCAUGUUUUAUGCGCUAUUUUAAUGCAAAACCUUCUCAUUAUACAGCAGUGGCUGUUAACCCUUAGUCGCUUAUACCCGGGGAGUUGGAAAGAAGCCCAUAUAGGAAGGGCCACUAUUGCAACAUUUUUUCCUGCUGUUAAGCGCCAUGGUGCUGCUGCAAAGAACAGGCAUGGCUGCCACAGCCCACCCGUGCAGCAGGUAACAUGCAAAUUGGCGUAGGUACCUUAUGAUAAAAAUCAGUCCAGCUUCUGUAUUGAAUUGCUCACAUAGCUGGUCGAGCCUUACACUGUUGUAUUUUGGGGGUUCCUCCAACUUCUGAAGAAAAUUGGUCCAGCUAUUUCAUUGGAUUGCAAAUAUCCUGGUUUGUUAUCAAAUUUGUUGCUGUAUUAUAGAGCAUGUGUGACACUUGGUCAUUGCAGCAAAUGGCUGUACUUUUCAGGAUACUUAAGAUGCAUUCCCCAUCUUUAGUUCCAGCAUUGCUGUUACUAUAACCAUGAGGUCUGCUUUAACGUAUGUGAAGGUGAUUGCAAGCAGAGAAGUAGUAUUGAACUUGGGAAUUUACUCCAUUUAUUGCUGCCAAAUGUAAUGCUGUAUUGCCAGAACAGUCAUGGUCGCGGCUCACCAUUUCCUCUGCUUUUUUUGUUUUUUUGUUUGCCAAUAGACCCCUCACUACCAGAAUUUGAUUAUAUUCCACGGCAAAGUGUAGAGCAGAUUUCUGAUCUAAAUUGCGGAUUUUGAUACAGUGACAUUGUGGACAUAAAUUUUAACAUAAUCAACAAAUUUAUGUCCACAAAGCCAGACUCUGGAAAUCAGCAAUUAAGAUCAGAAAUAUGCUCUACAUUUUGCCAUGGAAUAUGAUCAAAUUGAGGUAAUGAGGGGUCUACCGGCAAACAAAAAGGCAAAAAAAGCAGGAGAAAAGGUGAGCCGCGACCAUGACCGUUCUGGCAAUACAGGUUUACAUUUGGCAGCAAUAAAUGAAGUGAAUUCCCAGGUUUGAUUAUACUUCCUUGCUUACUCCAUGAUGAGGACUAUUUUUUAUAUUUAGGCUUCAUCCAUGUACUUAUAAAUUAGUUGAAAAUUGGUUCCUUGUUAUGUCAGGCAAUUUGCGCUACAGAUCUCUAGGAUGCUAGAAAUCCCAAGCAACGUUGAGUAAAAUUUUACUUUAAGAAAUUUUAUAGAUUGAUGAUAACAUCAAAUCUUUAGAUUUAAGCUCUCCGUGACUAGUUUGGGGUUUGCCUGCUGACUAUUUUUGUCAAGGAGAUCAUCGGAUGGAUUGAUAUGCCAUCCAAGUUAACUGGAUGGGUUUAUAUACUCUCUUAAACUUGACGGGUUUCCAAUAAAAAGCAAAUUUCGAAGAA